UGAGCGUUGUUGAAUGAAGACCGCGGGGAGGUUGAGCGGUGGGUUCCGUGUUUUAAGGGGGUUCGGCUGAGCGGCAGGACGAGUCAGUUUUGUUCUCCGUCCGCCACGACGAUGGCCACCAUCAGGACCGCCACGACGACGACGUGGAGACGAAUCCGCGCCGCUCUUUGUCUGUUGCUCGCCGCCGCCGGCGGUCGCGGAUUGGCGCAACGGGGACUCGGUAACACAAAAACACAAACACACAAAAACACCGAUCCGCACGUUUUGAUCGUAAGAUGAUUACGAAGGAGGGAAAAUAAUUACAACAAAAAAAACCACCGCCGAAGCUCGCUCGCUCGCUCGUCGCUCGCUGCGGCAACGGCGGGGAGAGGUCGUUGAAGAGACGAGUGACUGAAGCGGUAAAGUCUUUAACGUCCGUGUGACCGACUGAGUCAGAGAGCCGGGGGCGGCGGGGUUGGACUUUAACAAAGCAACGUUGACGACGUUACGUCCCACGUUGUUACCACGCGAGGACUCCUCCCUCCCCUAGAGCAUCUGACGAUGCAACGCGAGCGAAGCGGAAAGUGUUCAGCGAGCCUGACUCUGCCGAUGAGAAGCGGCAACGCCGAAACCGGUGCAGGAGAUUUGCUUGCUCGGAACAAAUUCUACCACCGGGGGGAGUAACGCUCGCCUGGAGAGGCGACACGUGGAAGGGUAAUCGACUCAAAGAUAACUUGUGUGUGUGUGUGUCUGAUGUCAGGGCAAGGUUGGCGUGCGCUUACGUAAACUCGGGACGUGUGUUGAACCGUCGGUCAGAUCCAUCGCCAGAGCUGGGGAGUGGAGACGGAGGGCAUCUGACGGGAGAUGGAGCAGCGAGCGGUGAUGAUGGAGUCACCCCCAGAGACGGAUUCCUUUCCGAGACAGAGGGCAGCAGAGGCGGCGGUGAGGGUUUGCCGGGAGACCUGGGGAUGCGUGUUCUCUGCGGGAGUGACGGAGUCGAGUUGCGUGUGGAACCGAGUUUCUUCCUGAAACGUGGAAUCCAGCUGCCCGAUCUGCACUUGAACGAUCGUCGUUGUGGGGGGGUGGCGCUAUGG
Petromyzon marinus (sea lamprey) is the source of this 1073-nucleotide long non-coding RNA. RefSeq lists it as uncharacterized. NCBI's taxonomy places the organism in Eukaryota, Metazoa, Chordata, Hyperoartia, Petromyzontiformes, Petromyzontidae. The record is from RefSeq and is a predicted model, not a curated record.